GUGCCAGCAGCCGCGGUAAUACGUAGGUGGCAAGCGUUAUCCGGAAUUAUUGGGCGUAAAGCGCGCGUAGGCGGUUUUUUAAGUCUGAUGUGAAAGCCCACGGCUCAACCGUGGAGGGUCAUUGGAAACUGGAAAACUUGAGUGCAGAAGAGGAAAGUGGAAUUCCAUGUGUAGCGGUGAAAUGCGCAGAGACAUGGAGGAACACCAGUGGCGAAGGCGACUUUCUGGUCUGUAACUGACGCUGAUGUGCGAAAGCGUGGGGAUCAAACAGGAUUA
RNAcentral lists this ribosomal RNA (276 nucleotides) under uncultured Staphylococcus sp. RNAcentral's name for it is "partial 16S ribosomal RNA". It matches the Rfam family "Bacterial small subunit ribosomal RNA", at positions 505 to 780 of the family's 1533-position model. Lineage: Bacteria; Bacillati; Bacillota; Bacilli; Caryophanales; Staphylococcaceae. The record is from RNAcentral.